Molecule: long non-coding RNA, 514 nt
Filed under: Zostera marina
Lineage: Eukaryota; Viridiplantae; Streptophyta; Magnoliopsida; Alismatales; Zosteraceae
Description: long non-coding RNA (ZMAR_LNC003797)
Source: RNAcentral
CUCUCUUUGUCCCCCGCACCAGACCUCUCUUCUCGCUUACUACUCUGAAUCCGCCUGGGGCUUGAGGAAGGGGUCGAUUUUAUAGAAAACGAGGUCAAUUUUUUUAAAAUCUAUAUUUAAUUCGUCGCUUUCCUCUUUUAGUAAUUUUUUUCCCCAAAAAAAAUUGAUUUUUAUUUUUAUAUUUUCACAGUGACACUGGCGGCUGACUACCGGUAAAUGUGGAGAAACUUUUCGUUUUCCGACAUGCGACGGUGAAGUGGGCCCCCAGUGUUUCUUUAUACAGAAAAAGAUACGGGUCAGAAUUGCAAAACAAGGGUUAUUUGCAUAUUAACCCUCUCUCAAACAUCAAACUUCAUUAAAUCCACACAUUUGAGAAAAUAGGAUUUCAAGUUUUCAACCAACAACUAGAUUCAGGAUUCGAGUUUGGAUCUGUAUGUAUAUUUUCAUUACGAUCUAUCCGUUAAUAUAUUAUGUUACUCUGAUAUAUCAUUCGGAUAUAGACAUUUAUUCUUAC